This 74-nucleotide transfer RNA is filed under the name Candidatus Heimdallarchaeota archaeon B3_Heim. RNAcentral's name for it is "Candidatus Heimdallarchaeota archaeon B3-JM-08 tRNA-Ala". It matches the Rfam family "tRNA". From Rfam's summary of the family: Transfer RNA (tRNA) molecules are approximately 80 nucleotides in length. Their secondary structure includes four short double-helical elements and three loops (D, anti-codon, and T loops). Further hydrogen bonds mediate the characteristic L-shaped molecular structure. tRNAs have two regions of fundamental functional importance: the anti-codon, which is responsible for specific mRNA codon recognition, and the 3' end, to which the tRNAs corresponding amino acid is attached (by aminoacyl-tRNA synthetases). tRNAs cope with the degeneracy of the genetic code in two manners: having more than one tRNA (with a specific anti-codon) for a particular amino acid; and 'wobble' base-pairing, i.e. permitting non-standard base-pairing at the 3rd anti-codon position. Lineage: Archaea; Promethearchaeati; Candidatus Heimdallarchaeota. The record is from RNAcentral.
GCGGGGGUAGCCAAGUCAGGUCAAAGGCAGCUAUACGCGAUAGACGUUCGAGGGUUCAAACCCCUCCCCCCGCA